This 1528-nucleotide ribosomal RNA is filed under the name Klebsiella pneumoniae. RNAcentral's name for it is "bacterial SSU rRNA". It matches the Rfam family "Bacterial small subunit ribosomal RNA". Lineage: Bacteria; Pseudomonadati; Pseudomonadota; Gammaproteobacteria; Enterobacterales; Enterobacteriaceae. The record is from RNAcentral.
AGAGUUUGAUCAUGGCUCAGAUUGAACGCUGGCGGCAGGCCUAACACAUGCAAGUCGAGCGGUAGCACAGAGAGCUUGCUCUCGGGUGACGAGCGGCGGACGGGUGAGUAAUGUCUGGGAAACUGCCUGAUGGAGGGGGAUAACUACUGGAAACGGUAGCUAAUACCGCAUAACGUCGCAAGACCAAAGUGGGGGACCUUCGGGCCUCAUGCCAUCAGAUGUGCCCAGAUGGGAUUAGCUAGUAGGUGGGGUAACGGCUCACCUAGGCGACGAUCCCUAGCUGGUCUGAGAGGAUGACCAGCCACACUGGAACUGAGACACGGUCCAGACUCCUACGGGAGGCAGCAGUGGGGAAUAUUGCACAAUGGGCGCAAGCCUGAUGCAGCCAUGCCGCGUGUGUGAAGAAGGCCUUCGGGUUGUAAAGCACUUUCAGCGGGGAGGAAGGCGAUAAGGUUAAUAACCUUGUCGAUUGACGUUACCCGCAGAAGAAGCACCGGCUAACUCCGUGCCAGCAGCCGCGGUAAUACGGAGGGUGCAAGCGUUAAUCGGAAUUACUGGGCGUAAAGCGCACGCAGGCGGUCUGUCAAGUCGGAUGUGAAAUCCCCGGGCUCAACCUGGGAACUGCAUUCGAAACUGGCAGGCUAGAGUCUUGUAGAGGGGGGUAGAAUUCCAGGUGUAGCGGUGAAAUGCGUAGAGAUCUGGAGGAAUACCGGUGGCGAAGGCGGCCCCCUGGACAAAGACUGACGCUCAGGUGCGAAAGCGUGGGGAGCAAACAGGAUUAGAUACCCUGGUAGUCCACGCCGUAAACGAUGUCGAUUUGGAGGUUGUGCCCUUGAGGCGUGGCUUCCGGAGCUAACGCGUUAAAUCGACCGCCUGGGGAGUACGGCCGCAAGGUUAAAACUCAAAUGAAUUGACGGGGGCCCGCACAAGCGGUGGAGCAUGUGGUUUAAUUCGAUGCAACGCGAAGAACCUUACCUGGUCUUGACAUCCACAGAACUUACCAGAGAUGGAUUGGUGCCUUCGGGAACUGUGAGACAGGUGCUGCAUGGCUGUCGUCAGCUCGUGUUGUGAAAUGUUGGGUUAAGUCCCGCAACGAGCGCAACCCUUAUCCUUUGUUGCCAGCGGUCCGGCCGGGAACUCAAAGGAGACUGCCAGUGAUAAACUGGAGGAAGGUGGGGAUGACGUCAAGUCAUCAUGGCCCUUACGACCAGGGCUACACACGUGCUACAAUGGCAUAUACAAAGAGAAGCGACCUCGCGAGAGCAAGCGGACCUCAUAAAGUAUGUCGUAGUCCGGAUUGGAGUCUGCAACUCGACUCCAUGAAGUCGGAAUCGCUAGUAAUCGUAGAUCAGAAUGCUACGGUGAAUACGUUCCCGGGCCUUGUACACACCGCCCGUCACACCAUGGGAGUGGGUUGCAAAAGAAGUAGGUAGCUUAACCUUCGGGAGGGCGCUUACCACUUUGUGAUUCAUGACUGGGGUGAAGUCGUAACAAGGUAACCGUAGGGGAACCUGCGGUUGGAUCACCU